CGUUCACGAAGAAGUAGCUUCGCUACAAAUGCGACUUCGGACGAUGAGGUUGAGCUGACGGAGGGAGAAUUCGAGGAUGAAUUAGUGGAAGACCAGUAUCUACCGUCCGACUCAGAGCUUAAGUCUGGACUUGAACUCAUGUUCCUCAAACAGCAGAGACAUUAUUGGACACGAAAAAAUCAAUCUCAGUAACAAGAUGAUGGGAUAGAUUAUCAACCAUCGGCGGUACUAGAGGGUUCCAAAGGGGGGGCAUCACAAUAUUUAUACCCCCUCCCCCAAUCCUUCCCCCCCAUGAGAAAUCCUGGAUCCAUCUUAAGAACCUUGUUAAUGUGAACAGCUCAGGUUUGUUAUUGACCGCCCCAUCAAGUCAACCAUUAUAUCCUUCAUAUAUUGUGCAUAACAGAUAGUAUAUAGGUGACCGGGGUUCGCAAAAACUUUGAGGUGAAAUUCCCAUAGAUAAUAAACCACCAUCGAUUCUGAUUUUUCCAGGAUAGGAUUUUCAGAAAUAUCAGACUGGCUGAAUCUAGCAGAAUAAACUAUGUCUUACAUUGUU
Molecule: long non-coding RNA, 553 nt
Organism: Nematostella vectensis (starlet sea anemone)
Lineage: Eukaryota; Metazoa; Cnidaria; Anthozoa; Actiniaria; Edwardsiidae
Exons: 2
Source: RefSeq, a predicted model, not a curated record